RNAcentral lists this long non-coding RNA (727 nucleotides) under Nicotiana benthamiana. RNAcentral's name for it is "long non-coding RNA (NBEN_LNC024315)". The record is from RNAcentral. Lineage: Eukaryota; Viridiplantae; Streptophyta; Magnoliopsida; Solanales; Solanaceae.
UAAAGAAGAUGAGCAAAUGAUCAAAGUGAUCAUAAUAAAGAUGGCAAGUGAUCUAGAAGAUCACAUGACACAACACUUCAUAAAAUCUCUGAUAAUCAGGUUCCUUUUCGAUUUGGAGUUGUAACUAUGGAUAGAGGGAUUGAUCUGUCUCUGUUUCAACAUGAGCUCCACCUCCUAUUUUGAGAAGUUAUGGUAGUGUACACUUCUUUCCAUACUAUUUGAGCUGUUGCUACUCUGAAAUCUCAAGCAAUUGCUCCCCGCUGACUUGGUUCUUCAGAUGAAUGAGUACGUCAUCUGUCCUAACCCUAUGCGACACAAGACAAGCAGCGCAUGACUUCAGCAUGGAGCUAUCAGUUUCGAUUUGAUGUCUUGCAGCUAAUAUUGAUGCUAAUAUCGGCUUACUCUCACAUCGACUUCUUUUACCUUGACUUCAAUGCAUAUUUUGGUUUGGUCAUCUGGUGGAUUUCAUCCAGGUGGUGUAGUUUUCAACGGAUGAGUAUUACGGUUGAGCUAAGGGGGCAAGUGAACCUGAAGGCUAUAUAAAUGAUGUCAUUUGCCCAUGUGUUUUUAUAAAGAAAACAACAUCGGAAUUUAUUUUACUUGCCGUAUAUGUUGAAGCAAGUGAACCUGAAGGUGUAUUGCUUUGGUGCUUGUGUUCCGCAAGAUGCAGAGCAAGUUCUCAGGUCUUAGGCUGAAGAGGUAUUGGAGAUUUUAGUAUCUCUAACCU